This 30-nucleotide non-coding RNA is filed under the name Mus musculus (house mouse). The record is from RNAcentral. Lineage: Eukaryota; Metazoa; Chordata; Mammalia; Rodentia; Muridae.
UAGACACAAAGAACUGUAUAUUCUGGAAGA